This is a long non-coding RNA of Papaver somniferum (opium poppy), 535 nucleotides long. RefSeq lists it as uncharacterized. The transcript is spliced from 2 exons. Lineage: Eukaryota; Viridiplantae; Streptophyta; Magnoliopsida; Ranunculales; Papaveraceae. The record is from RefSeq and is a predicted model, not a curated record.
GAUUGAUUCUUAACCUAUGAAGCGUUCUCCUCAGUUCUCACUUCUUCGCUUCUUUCCCAUGACUCAGUCUCCAUUAGCAGACAGUCGAGCUCGAGCACCAAACUAAGACACCAGCCACACCGCCGCUCUCAAACUAAUAACCAGUCACUUUUUUGGUGCUUUCCCACGAUUUCUUCUUCUUCUCUUUCUCUUCUUCAAGUUUAAUCAAGCAAUAAACUAAGGCUAGAAGUUACUUCAUAUUAUAAAGGUUACCGUUACAACCUCCUGUGGAAUACCCAAUUUCUACACCUGCAAAGUGUAUUCAUUGUAACAAACUAUUUCCUGUCGACCCUUUUAGGAAUGAGACCUCUAUGUUGAUUUUCCAUCUAAAGAUGUGUAGUCAGUUAUGAUUAUGAAUUUUUGAUGUUUUUUUGUUUUUGUUAAAGGAGAAACUAGACUCUUUAAAAUUUAAUGCUUCUAUCAACAUGUAUUGGAAGUUGGAACAUUUUAUGUAUUUGAAACUUGAGUGACAGGUUCAGAAAAAUUUGCCUUUUAA